GUAAGGAAUAUUGGACAAUGGACGCAAGUCUGAUCCAGCCAUGCCGCGUGAAGGAUUAAGGUCCUCUGGAUUGUAAACUUCUUUUAUAAGGGACGAAAAAAGGCUUUUCUAAGUCGUCUGACGGUACCUUAUGAAUAAGCACCGGCUAACUCCGUGCCAGCAGCCGCGGUAAUACGGAGGGUGCAAGCGUUAUCCGGAUUCACUGGGUUUAAAGGGUGCGUAGGCGGGCAGGUAAGUCAGUGGUGAAAUCCUAGAGCUUAACUCUAGAACUGCCAUUGAUACUAUCUGUCUUGAAUAUUGUGGAGGUAAGCGGAAUAUGUCAUGUAGCGGUGAAAUUCUUAGAUAUGACAUAGAACACCUAUUGCGAAGGCAGCUUACUACGCAUAUAUUGACGCUGAGGCACGAAAGCGUGGGGAUCAAACAGGAUUAGAUACCCGAGUAGUCC
This 445-nucleotide ribosomal RNA is filed under the name uncultured bacterium. RNAcentral describes it as "bacterial SSU rRNA". It matches the Rfam family "Bacterial small subunit ribosomal RNA", at positions 354 to 796 of the family's 1533-position model. The record is from RNAcentral.